GCCACAUAGACAAAAAAAAAAAAAAAAAGUAAAAUAAAACAUUUAAAAAAAAACAAGAAAUAAAACAAAAAUGAAAGGAGGGAAAGAAGGAAGGAAGGAAAGAAGGGAAAAGAUAACUAAAUAUUUGAAAAUAAGAACACGGUAAUGUUCCCAAAGCCCCUGGUUUUGGGAAUCACAGGCGGUUUAAACUUUAUUCUUUUGGCUUUUUUUUCAUUUUCUAAAAUGUCUACAAUUGCCAUACGUCACUUUGGCGGGGAAAGGGUAAGACAAUAAAUAUUACUGUUAAAGAAAAGAGGUUGGGUAAAGAGAGCACCAUGACCAUUUUUCUCAGCAAAAAGAACACGGUGAGUCUCUAACAUUAGCCCCAAUGACACAGGUUCUUAAAAAUCCUGCCUCAUUUGAAGCAUCAGGUAAUUAUUGCAAAAGCCUUCGUGUGGGAGGGGGUGAGUGAUGGCUCACAUUUUCUGGAUAAUUGCCCUCAUUGUCCAGUUCACACUGCCUAUAGAAUCAUAUCUGCAUUUCCAGACCACACAGAAGUGAAGUUUGGAGUGAGAACUCACUCGUCAUCAAUCCAUCCACAGACAUUUAAUGAGCUCCUACUACGUGCAAGGUUCUUGCUGUGCCUCGUCGCUCACUCUUGGGGAACUUUCUCCAGAAGGAGGGGCGAUUCCUCACCUUUCAGGGCAGGACCAACACUUGAUCAGCAUCUUGUCUUGAGAACUUUCAUUAGAGUCCUGGCCUUUCCAUCAUCCAUUCAGCUAUCCAUGCUGGGCCCUCAGGGGGCCCAGGGGAUGGUGAUCAGGGCAGACGCGAGGCAGACCCACCAUCAAGGUAGCCCAGCCGCAGCCUGGAGCCCUUGUUUGCCUUCCACCAGCUGAGAUGAGAUUCAGACUCUGAUUCAAGGAGGGUUUGCGGAAUACCUCCUUUGUGUCAGAUGCUUAGAGGAUCGUUGGUACAUUGAUGAGCGUGGUAGAACCUCAGCACAUCUGAGAGGUGAAUUCAUUCUGAAGAAGUGGAGGCUGAAACACUAAACGCUUUGCCCAAAGUCACUCAGCGGACCAGUAGAAGGACCCAGAUCCAGGACUCGGAAAGUCUUUGACACCCGCGGUGGUGGCGGGGUAGGGAGAGGGGAGCUACUGACUGAAAAGGUUAACAAAGCUUUUUGGAUGCUGCUAGAUUGGCACCCGGGAAUCAAAAGUUCUCCCUUGGCCGCGUACCG
Molecule: long non-coding RNA, 1219 nt
Filed under: Capra hircus (goat)
Lineage: Eukaryota; Metazoa; Chordata; Mammalia; Artiodactyla; Bovidae
Description: lncRNA (ENSCHIG00010028879.1)
Source: RNAcentral